AGAACGAACGCUGGCGGCAUGCCUAACACAUGCAAGUCGAACGAACUCUUCGGAGUUAGUGGCGCACGGGUGCGUAACGCGUGGGAAUCUGCCCUUGGGUACGGAAUAACUCAGAGAAAUUUGUGCUAAUACCGUAUAAUGACUUACGGUCCAAAGAUUUAUCGCCCAAGGAUGAGCCCGCCGUAAGAUUAGCUAGUUGGUGGGGUAAAGGCCUAACACGGCUACGAGUCUUUAGCUGGUCUGAGAGGAUGAUCAGCCACACUGGGACCUGAGACACGGCCCAGACUCCUACGGGAGGCCAGGCAGUGGGGAAUAGUUGGACAAGUGGGACGAAAGCCUGAUCCGAGCGAAUGACCGCGUGAGUGAUAGAAGGCCGUUAGGUUGGUAAAGU
This 391-nucleotide ribosomal RNA is filed under the name uncultured soil bacterium. Its description in RNAcentral is "bacterial SSU rRNA". It matches the Rfam family "Bacterial small subunit ribosomal RNA", at positions 26 to 431 of the family's 1533-position model. The record is from RNAcentral.